CCACUUCUAAAUACUGAAUUGGCAGAACAAAAAAAAGUAUAUUCUAAAAUUGAUAAUCUGACACCUUUUUCCUUCUUGGUUUCAGAAGCUGGCGGUUGAGUUGCAGGCUGCAGGCCACAGUGGGGUUCUGGUUCCUUUCCAGUGUGACUUAAACAGCGAGGAGGAGAUUCUGUCCAUGUUUGCUGCCAUCAAGGAGCAGCACCGAGGGGUCGACGUGUGCAUCAACAACGCCGGCUUGGCUCAUCCAGAGUCUCUGUUAAAGCGGCUGGAAGAACAUGCUAGAUGUGAAUGUUCUUGCUUUGUGUAUUCGCACCCGUGAAGUGUAUCAAUCUAUGAAGGAAAGAAAUGUUGACGAUGGGCACAUCAUAAACAUAAACAGAGAUCUGCCAGGGAGGCUCCUGCUCAGCUUCCAGGCCGGAGGAAAGCGAGCUGGGGGACCGCCAAGCACAACCACCCGCCAUCUUUAUGAUGCUAAUGAACAGCCAUUAACACAGUGCACAACAGUUGUACACAACUCAAUAAAUCCUCUGUGUAAAUAUACACGGGUAUUAUGGGUUAUUGGAUUCUUCGCCUCAUGGGAUGCCACAGAAUGUGUUGUCUCCGGUCUGAAGGUGCCUCCUCCGAGCACAUCUCACUUCUUUCAAAGCUAUCCUUGCUGUAAUGGGAAUUUGACCAAUGUGAGGGAGGACACACCUCAAUGACACGGUUUGCUGUAGAGCUCAAAGAUUAAACCAUUGUUUCUUUCUUUUUUUUGCACAAAUGUCCAGUAAUGCUGGUUGCUGCACCAGUAUAAAACCCGUCCUGUAUAUUAAACAUCU
Molecule: long non-coding RNA, 818 nt
Organism: Gasterosteus aculeatus aculeatus (three-spined stickleback)
Lineage: Eukaryota; Metazoa; Chordata; Actinopteri; Perciformes; Gasterosteidae
Source: Ensembl